This is a long non-coding RNA of Neodiprion fabricii, 1773 nucleotides long. RefSeq lists it as uncharacterized. NCBI's taxonomy places the organism in Eukaryota, Metazoa, Arthropoda, Insecta, Hymenoptera, Diprionidae. The record is from RefSeq and is a predicted model, not a curated record. The transcript is spliced from 3 exons.
AUGAUCUCGAAAACGGCUCAAUGAAAAAAUUGGAAAUUCCCUCACAGGAUUUACAAUGAAAUGUUGGGUAUGAAAAAUUGGUAUGUCCCAGUCACUUGAACUUCCUGUUUUACCGGAAGUAAAUCGAUUUUCAAUCUAACUGACAAACAAAGACGGUGAAGCAUUUAAAUUGGCAAAUGCAAAUAAUUUGAAAAUAAUUGAUUUCUGAGAAAAAUGUUUCACACAAAAGUUUUAUCAUCCUGAAGCGGAAUCUGGAGGCUAUAAUUUUUUUCACAUUGGUGGAGGAAUACCCUUAUUCUUUUUACAGAUUCGUCUUUAAUGUGAAAGAAGUUGUCAUUUUUGUUUUUAGCGGUUUUUUGUUCCGUCCAGUUGUUUACGAGUUAUUGAACAUUCUCAACAUUUACGAAUAUGUCAAUCGUCACAAAUGAAUAUCUUUCGCAUAAACCACUUGGAAAACGUAAUAAAUAUAAUGAUUUCACAACACUCUGUUCAAUCAAUAAUCAGUGUCCCACAUGUUCGGAAUGAUAUCCUUCAAGAUCGAUACACGACUUCGUAGAUCAACAAUUACCACACUUCUUGAAGAUUUACCAUCAGAAAAAAAGAUAAACAUGUUGUUCCAGCAUGAUGGUUAUCCACUGUACACUGCACUAGUACACUGGCCAGCUCCAUUAUCUUACUUGACCACACCAGAGUUUUUGUUGUGAGGAUAUCUCGAAAGAAAAGGUUAUAAAUAACCGUAUCGAGAAGUGUACCGAACUCGAAGGACAUCAUUUCAAACAUGUGUACACUAAUUAUUGCCUGGACAGAGUCGUGUGGACUCAUUCUGUUUAUCAAUUUUUUCAAAUAGUUUGUGCAAGAUAUUUAUUUGAGCCAUAUUGGUAAAUUUUGAGAAUGCUCAAUUACUCACAAACAUUCGAGCAAAAAAUUAAAAUAAAAAUGAUUCCAACAAAAUUGCGUAUUUUCUCAAAUAAAAUACGAAUCUGUGAAAAAAAUAGAGGUACCUAUUUCAAAAAACAAAGUUUACCUUCGUGUGAUUAUGAAGUCCUCUAUUGACUUGGAAAAAAUUAUAGACAUUAGAUCCCAUAUCGAAGAUCAUCAAACUUUGGUUUGGAACAUUUUUCUCGACAAUACUUCAUUUUCAAGAUAUUUGCGUUUACCUCCUUAAAUGCCUCAUCCUUAUACAUACUAUAUAUUUAUAUAUUAGUAUAUACGUUUUUCUCAAUAAACGAUGUUUUUCCUAGUUUACAUAUUUAUUUUGUUACAUCCACCAGACUUUAAGUUCUUCCACACAUUUACAGCUACCUUAUACUCUGCAUCCUCGUCUUGUCAUUACCUUGCUGCCUUGGUUACCAUUCCAUAUCAGCAGAAUGCUCUCUCUACUCCUACACUGCAACUAGCCAGUUUCUUGCAUCCUUCCACCCAUACAUUCACUCUCAAGUCAACUUCGGCGAGGAUCUAAAUUCUGCUCUCCUUUUUCUGCUCCACAUCUUUAUGCACUCGUAAUUUAAGCAACGAUGGUGUCACUGACAGCACGUAAAAUUAGUGUCAGAAGCCGACAUUUAGACGACUAUGAAAAAGUUAAAGGUGGAAAAUGUGAAAAGGAAGUCUGUACCUGCCACUCCGGGCUGCAAACUGUGGCGAUUUCUUGGAGGCCACCGGGAAAUCUUUUCCCUUGAGCCUCUUGCGUCUUCCUGAAGUCUUGCAUGAAGAAGUAAAACGCGUUAUGUUGCUGUUUUUUCGGCAUGGUUGAUCGGGUCACAAGAUUUAUUAUUU